This is an RNA transcript of Oryzias melastigma (Indian medaka), 9190 nucleotides long. It is a transcript of the gene named CUGBP Elav-like family member 4, with no coding region annotated. The transcript is spliced from 14 exons. The record is from RefSeq and is a predicted model, not a curated record. NCBI's taxonomy places the organism in Eukaryota, Metazoa, Chordata, Actinopteri, Beloniformes, Adrianichthyidae.
AAAUAGUUUAAGAGUGUUAAAUAAAUGUUUAUCCUGUUCAGCCCACAACCUAAGGUGUGUUUUGAAUUCCGGCCCCUUGUGCGAUUGAGUUUGACACCCCUGUUUUAGAUGUUCUUAUAAAACAUACUUUCAGAAAAAUUUGCAGUAAAAAAAAUAUACACAAAGAAAAAAUAUCCCUCAACAUUAAUUCUGUCAUGGUAAAGAUUAAGCACAUCACUUCAUCAAGAGUAAAGAAGAAGCACAGAUGCAGCUUCUGCAUCAUUUAAACGCCCCUCUCUGCACGACUGUUCUACUCCUAUUUGUCUGAUCCUCGCUCAUUAUGCAAAUCAGGGAGUGGGCGUAGUUUGUCCUCAAAAGUGCGAUCUGACGUCACGGUAAUGAGUGACACUUGUUGGAGAGGAAUUGCGGGGGAUUACUAAAAAAAAAGAAAAAAAAAUGAGAGAACAUAAAGCCAUAAAGCAUAAGAUGAAAUAAAUAAGGCUGAUUCCAAAACAAGGCAGCUUAUAGGCUGCAAGAGGAACAGAAGAGGGGAGGGAGAAGAAUCAGAGGAGGAGUAGGGAGUCAGGAGCGUAUAAGGGAUGGGGAGGGGUGGGGGGGCAUGGUACUGUGCAGUUGACUAAAGAGAGAUAGGAGGAAUAGAGAGAGGGAGAGAGAGAGGGAGCAGCCCGCCGGCCCAUUGAGGAAAGAUGGCUACAGUCACUGCAAACGGAGUGCAGCAAGAGAAUGGAUUCAGCACCACGAACAGCGCCGGCAGGAUGAACGGGCUCACCAUCGGCCAGAACACCAUUCCAAUGAAGGACCACGACGCCAUCAAGCUUUUCAUCGGGCAGAUUCCCAGAAACCUGGAGGAAAAAGACCUGAAACCCCUGUUUGAGGAAUUCGGAAAGAUAUACGAACUCACCGUGCUGAAAGACAGGUUCACGGGAAUGCAUAAAGGAUGUGCCUUUCUAACAUACUGUGCCAGAGAGUCAGCACUGAAGGCCCAGAGCGCCCUGCAUGAACAGAAGACUCUGCCAGGGAUGAACCGGCCCAUCCAGGUGAAGCCAGCCGACAGCGAAGGACGGGGAGAAGACAGGAAGCUGUUUGUUGGGAUGCUCGGCAAGCAGCAGAGCGAGGACGACGUGCGGCGGCUGUUUGAGACCUUCGGCCAGAUCGAGGAGUGCACCGUCCUUCGAGGGCCUGAUGGGGCCAGUAAGGGCUGUGCCUUUGUCAAGUUUUCCAGCCAUGCAGAAGCGCAAGCUGCAAUUAACAGCUUGCAUGGAGGACAAACUAUGCCUGGUGCCUCGUCCAGCCUGGUGGUCAAAUUUGCAGACACUGAUAAGGAGAGGACCCUGCGCAGGAUGCACCAGAUGGCGGGCCAGCUCGGCAUCUUCAGUCCCAUGACCAUCCAGUUUGGGGCCUAUGGCACCUAUUCUCACGCUGUAAGUCUCAGCCCGGCGGGGGAGGAGACGCAGAUGAUGCAACAGCAAGCAGCCCUGAUGGCAGCAACACAAGGGUCCUACCUGAACCCCAUGGCAGCCAUUGCUGCCGCACAAAUGCAGCAAAUGGCAGCUUUCAAUGUCAACGGUCUGGUGGCUACUCCCAUGACACCGUCCUCAGGCACCAGCACACCCCCAGGCAUCUCUGCUACUGCCGUGCCCAGCAUAGCCACUCCUAUCGGGGUCAAUGGAUUCAGUGCCCUCCCGCCUCAGAGCAAUGGCCAGCCUACAUCUGAGCCCAUCUACACCAAUGGCAUUCAUCCUUACCCAGCACAGAGUCCAACGGUGACUGACCCUCUUCAGCAGGCUUAUGCUGGCGUCCAGCACUACGCAGCAGCCUACCCUGCCGCCUAUGCGCCAAUCAGCCAAGCGUUCCCCCAGCAACCAACCAUCAUUCCCCAGCAACAGAGGGAAGGGCCAGAAGGUUGCAACCUGUUUAUUUACCACCUGCCCCAGGAGUUUGGAGACGCUGAGCUCAUGCAAAUGUUCCUACCUUUUGGCAACGUCAUCUCAGCCAAAGUCUUUGUGGACAGAGCAACCAAUCAGAGCAAAUGUUUUGGCUUUGUAAGUUUUGAUAACCCAUCCAGUGCUCAAGCCGCUAUCCAGGCGAUGAAUGGCUUUCAGAUAGGCAUGAAGAGGCUGAAGGUGCAGCUAAAGCGGCCAAAGGAUGCCAACCGACCUUAUUGACUCGUCUGCUAUCCGUACCCAGUGUGAGGUGGCCUUUCUCCGCUAUAGCCACACACACCCCGACAACUGUCACGGGGCCAAGUUCCCACAGCUGAUGAAGGGCCACAACACCUUAUUUCCACAAGUGCAGUAAAAGUACAAAGACUUCUUGUUCUGCUACAUAUCAUGAAGGAAGGGUGGUCCCUUGAUCCUCCUGGAAAGCCGCAGAAAGAUUGGGUGACUGAAAGAUGGAUCCCAGAGUUGAUUUAUUUUUCUUUUUUUUCCCUUUUUUUUAAAUACUACGUUUUUGUUUUUCUUUCUUUGCAAAUGCCUCUUUUUUCCUGGUUUGCUUUGGCGUAUGUGGAAGAAGAUUUUUUGCAGAGACCAACUUUUUGCUGCUGUUUUUUAGACAUAAUGGGGAAAAAAAAACUUUAUAGACUCAUUAUGCUCAAAGCAUGCAUACAGACAACCGAUAUAGAUAAACAACCAGAAAAUAAACCAAACAUAAACAGUUAACAGACAAACAAACACUGGACUACGAAGAAAAAAAAAAAAAAAAAAGAACUUUGUACAUGUAUAAAUACGUGCAAAUGCCAACACAAGAACUUAAUCAAGGUCAUGCGUGUGCACACACUAAUACACACCAACACACACACCAGCCUGCUGCCAUUUUGGUUUUUGUGCCUACACAGGUGUUGUGCUCUGUGACAGGGCAAGCUCUGGAUCAAAGAAGAAAACAAGACGAAGAAGAGACAAGUGGAGAAUCCAGGAUAAUUUACAUGCAUCAUUCCUUAGGAAAUAGGGACCAAAGGACUAAACGCUUUUUAAAAGAUUAUAAAUAUAUAAAUAUAUAAAUAUAUAUUUAAAAACUCAUACCUUGUAGCUGCAAGUAUUACAAUUUACUUAUAGGGGGAAAAAAAUCAUUAAAUCAAUAUCCAGUGGCCUACUGUAAGUAUAAGUUAAAGAAAAUGGAAAUAUUGUAUUAAAAAAAAAAUGAAGUGGAAUUGUAGUGUAGGGGCUGAUCUUUUUGCUCUGGAUGCUGAUUUAGCAGCAAGUUGUAGAAUAGUGUAGUAGACUAGAAAAAAAAAGUAGAUUUGCUAACUUUUGCUGUUGUUUAAAAAAAAUACUUGAAGUCGUAAUGAAAAAAAAGGGGUGGAAUGAAGAGGUAAAGGAAGAUGCUCAAUAUCUCUUUGUGUGGAGCAACUCUUUUGGAUUGUAAAGGUAUCAGCCACUGGAUAUCUCACUCAUAAUGAUGUACAAGUUACCACACUCUGAGAGCUACAAAGAGACUGUUCUGAAAGAAAAAAAAAGGACAGAAGAAAAAAAAAGACUGAAGUUACAGAUGUCUGUGCUGGACGGAGUACAGAUGUUUAAGGCUUCUCGCUAGCCUUUGUGUUCAUGCGACAAUCCACUGUAAAGACCAAGAAAAUGGACAUUGCUGUCUUUUUCCCUUUUUUCUUUUUAUUUAAUCUUAUUCUGUUGUUUUUAUUGAAACCACAACUUGUUAAAAAGAUUUGUUAAAGAGAGAUGGACAACUGUGAAGCAGUGCUAGAGCGAGGUGACAGUCACUGAAAGUCCCAACUGAAUGAACCCAGUUUAAAGAUGACUUUUAUGUGGCGUUCCUUCAAAAGGAAAAAAGUGUGUCAAUCAAGGAGGAUGUGCUCGUGACAUGCCAAGAGUCCUUCAGUCUUCUGGUGAUGCUGCAAAAAAUCUGAAAUGAUAAAAUGUUUAUCUUGUCUCUUGGCAGUUAAAAGUAAACAUUCUUUUUUUUUUUCUUUGAAUAAAGUCAAAUUACCCACAUUGGUGGCAAAGGGGAGCUCAUUUAGCUCUGCCAAAUAUAAUUUAUUCAGACUCCACUGUAAACAUGUUCACUGACCUGCUUUCUCCAUGUACAUAAAGUUUACAGGGAAAAAUUAUUUAAAAAAAAAAGCCUACAACAGGCAAAACCAAAAUUAAUUUUACCUCCCACUCAGCUCUCCUGUAGCUCCUCAGACAAAAAAAAAUCUAUAGCUUGAUUCUUUUGCCUUCAUUUUGACUGUUUUGAAGCAGGCUCCUCUCGGAAACUAGAUCAAUAUGUUUGGAGUGGGCCUAGAGGGAGGAGCAAAGCUGUUUCAGUCACUAUGAGCACUUCUCAGUGUUCUCAGCAGAACACCGGCUCACAUCCGUACACCAGUCCUCUGAGCACCAGCAGCUGCCAUUAAGAGGCAGGCCAAGGAGGGAAGAAAGGAAGUCAACAGCUUGUCACAUAUAGAGAUCGUUCGUGACUGCUGCUGCUGCUGCUGCUGAGUUGUUGCAGAAUAGUUUAAAAUAAGAAGCUGGAAUCAGGCCUAUGGGGACAAUAAUUAUAGAUUAAAAAAAAUAACAUUUAAGGGUGGGACAGUGGGAGCACUUUAGCCAACCGCUCAAUCCACUUCCUAUUUACAACUGCAUCUUUGCUUGAUAUUCAACUGUGUUUCAAAUCAAAGAAGAUGGAUUGAUCAAAUAUGCCAGCAUAUUACAGAUAUUAAUACACUGCCUUUGUCAUUUAAAAAAGCUGGAGGUCGUGAUAUCUAUCCAUUAUAUCAGCAUGCCUAUUACCUCCUAUCGUUCUGCAGCCAUGCCUUUGCAAACCGCAGCUCAACUGUUCACAUCUCCCCCCAUGGAGCAGCAUUUUCAAGCUUGGCCUAAUGCCUGCGCUUGCUACCCUUCAAUUAUCUCCUGCACCAUAUUAGACAUGCUAUCUCACCUUUCCCUCUAAUCAUACUGUAAUCAUCAGCCUCUAUACAUUAGCAGCAACCAAGUGAAAAAUCACCGGGAUAAUCACUUGGACCAAAUGACGGCAGAGAUGGUCCCCUGUAUGCACAUGGAUAACAGAAGGAAGAUUAGGGAGAAUUAUGUUUGUGCCUACUCCCUGGCAAGGCUGCUGACAGCUGACCUGGCACCGAUAAUACAGCUAAAUUUACCCGAAAAAUACACUGGAGGAGUGGAACAAAAGCUUCCGUAUAAUAACAAGGUGUUAAUAUUGCACCGCAGAAUGACAUUACCAGGAGAUAAAAGAGGACGAAGAGCAUAAAAAAAGUAUUUUGCUUUCAUUUCACUACAAAGGUUGCAGCGGUGGUUGCUCAAAAGUGGGUCAAAAACAGCAAUUUUGCUGAAAAAGGCUCAAUCCUGUCUAAGCACCUGGUGUGAAGCUUGUGUCCUUGUGAUUCUUUUUUCAUCACCAAAACUGUAUCUCAGCAGUACGCUACAGAGGUCAAUCCAAUUUUACAAAACUAUUUUCUUACACCUUUUUUUUUGCUUUUCUUUUCAUCCGUUCUGCACAGCUAUAAAGCAGUUUCUCUUCAUCAGAUAUAAAAUAUGAAAGCACAGCCUUCUAAAUUCAAAGUCAUAUAAAUGUUUUUAUUUUUUCUGCUGUUGGAUAAACUCAUGAAAGCAGAAAGUUGUGCAAAUUCAAAUCCACAGCAUCCAAAUUCAUUACGUCUGUGAUGCUGCAGUUAUAAAUGUGCAAAUUAAUGUUUUAUAAGCAAUCAAGUGUCCUGUUCUCGUCUUGGUGACCUCUAAAAUACACCCAGUAAGAAGAUAACUGAAAGCAUGCUCAACUGAACAUCUCCGCGUUAUAUCACAUUCUGUACUUGUUCCCACUGCUAAUAGCAGGUUCGGUCCCCAGUGAGCCAAAAACCCAGCUUAGCUUAGUACCCUGCUGCCUGGCUUGGCUAAUAGUGCAGUGCUCAUGUACCAUAUCUGCUAUGCCAGGACUAAUUUAGGCAAUGUGAAAUUAGCACUUCAACACUUUUAACAUGGGCAUUUUUACUGCCUUAACACCCUGGGGAGGAGGUUGCUAAAGAGACGGGCAAAAUAAGCUUCACUGUAAUAUGAUUCUCCUGCUGAAAUUAAAAGACAAAGUGAUUUUUAAAACUUCUCAUUACCCACUUAUUUAAUGGGUUUCUGCAUGCCUUUCCAUUAGUUUGUUUUUUCAGUCCCAUGUUUUUACCUCCAAAUGUUAACCAGCCAACAAACCUGUUGCCAAAUGUUUAUUUGUCCACUUGCAUAUAUGAAAACUGUUGUAACAUUUUUUUUUUGGGGUGAAUAAUAUGUAAAUAUAAUUGUGGAAAAAAAAUGUUUAGCACACUGGGCCAAAUAAUAGUCUGCUGUUGAGCUAAGCAGCUUUGACUGUGGUGAACUAAAAAAGUACAUUUGAGUUUAAACUGUUGGGUUUUUUUUCUGUGCAAAAUUACAAAAAUCUGCCUUCAGAGUAGUCAUGUUCAAACCACCUCAGACAGUGGGUGCUUGUAUGCAUAUUACACCCAUUUUAAGCUGGCAAUACACUGCUCACAAGGAUCAUCAUCCAUAGUCGCACAUAUCCUUUGGGGCUCACGGCCAAUUGCAGGACAGAGGAGAGGACUGCUAGAGCAUGGAUUUCAAACCCCCUGGGUGCAUAACAUUCACCCUGAAAUAGGAGUGAUUGUCAAGGAAAGGAAGUGAAAUGUAAUUGACUGAAAGCGGAGAGAUAAUUAAAGGAACCUGUUGGACAGGAGGGACGAAAUUAAUGCCUCUCACUUAAUAGCUGCUUUGCGAGAGAACUUUUUCGUCAUCUCAUUUUGGCGCAGAAAAGAUUUUUUGCUGUGGAAAUGGGAUUUUUUGCAUUGGAGAGGGUGGCUGAUGAUAGUGGAAAUGGGCACUGGGUGGUGGGGGUGCUGUGUGCUAAACUGAAACUCCACAAAAUCACUCCCAAUACUCAGGGCAUCAGGCAUUAUGAUGUCAUGAUUAGUGGAGAGGUUCAGAGCCUUGCCUUACCCCAGAUCCGGGAAAAGAUGGAGCAGACAAAGAGAUGCAAAGCAAGUGUGUAGAGGGGGGGAGCACUGAGCAAAUGGAGGUGCUGACAAACCAUCUAAAUCUGGCUUUUACUUGGAACCAUUGCAUUCUAAAUAUGGCAACCAGCCAACAAGGCACAGUUAAGAAUUGUGGGACCAUAAUUGAAAAAAAAAAAUAAAAAAGAUGGUGGACACUUUUUUAAAAUGUAUUUCUCAAUGUAAAUAGUCUUUAAUAUAUAAAAAAACAGGGCAAGGUUGUACAGCUCUUGUGUUGAGAAGUUCAGCUCUGUGGGACAAUGAUGUCACUGUAAAUGUAUCCACAGCAGUGCAGGGAUUUAGGAGAGUUUUCAGUCUUUUUAAGCCCCUUAGGUUUGGGCUGUGAACAAGCAUCCUACAACCCGUAAGCGCUGGAGAACAGCUUAGAGUAUCUUACUUAAUGUCAGACCUAACCCAUGGCCCCAAAGGGAUCUGUUAAUUAAGAUUCAGUGUCCCUGAACACGUCAUGAGUUUUCUGCAGAAGAUCGCCCGUGCGGCACCUGGAUUACCCCAAUUUGGCUUGACAAACAGAUUUGACGACAUUUCUGUUUGACACUGUGGAAAAAGCAAUCAAAAGGAAGAGAACUAAUAAGAAAACAUCAGCUAUGAUAUCCUGUUUUUUUAAUUUCCUUGAACGUAUCAAUGUGAAGAAAGCAGAAGUUGUUUGGCAUGUACAUAAAACCAUUCUGAGGACAUGUAGAAACGAUGUACGUGCUUUCAGAGAAAAGGGACAAAUGAGAGAUCAAAAUAUGGAUCCCAGCAGAACCCCUGCUCGCUUGACUCAAUCUCCACCGCUCUCUUGACAACGCAGCUGCAUUAUAUCUGUACAUACAAUAUAGCUUAUUUUUCAAUUCUGUUCGCUAUUAUUUAAAACCGUAAAAUAGAUCAUGUUCAAACGUUUAAAAGAAAAAUAAAAGCAUAGCUAAUAUAUUUCAGGAAAAGUACAAAAAAUAUGAAAUAAUUUAUCGAAAACAGAUAAGAGGAUUUUAUUUCUUGUAUACACUGAUGUUUAAAAAAAUGAUUUUUUUUUCUUUCUUUGUCAUUGGCUGAAGCUGGGGUAGCCUUUUAUUCGGUUGUACUUAUUUUUUGUGCACAAUCCCUGUGUGAAAUCCCCUGUGAAUGGAAAAGUUGAGAGAUUUUGCUCCUUGAAAGCAGUCACAUCGAUACAAGAAUUAGUAAAGUGCACUGUAAAAGGAUGAUUGAUGGAACCGGUCUAUGGAUUCAGAAAAAGAAAAAAAUCUAUUGCACAGCUGACUUCAUGUGAAUCAGCAUUUCUUUACAAAAAGUGACAUUUGGGGUUUUUUGAGCUAAAAAAAUAAUUGAGUGAAAAAUAUAUAACUAAAAAUGAGAUUUAAGCAAAGAAAAAAACAAAACCUUGAUAUUACACUGGUAUUGGGACCUAUCUAUGUGGUGAUAUGUUAUUGUUGUCUGCCGUGGUUAAAACUGGUGUCUUUUUUUUUUGGGUAACCACUCACAUAUCCAAGUCGUAUGUUCUGUUCUUGCCUAUAGGACAUCUCUACCACAGUUUCUUACCUGAUGUGACUCCAUACACUGAAGACACUGUGCCAGCAGUAGAUCACGUUGCUCUUUAGUCAAGUGGGUUUGUUAAAGCAUUGAGGGAAUUCUGCCUUAAAAACAGCCUGUUUUCUCUGACGGCACUACCUGUGACGAGCGGUAAGUCGCUGUAUCCUGGGGAUGUCAAACAUUUUUUUUUUUUUAAGUCAGUUUUGACCCAAGGCCCAUUCUGACACAAACAUAGAAGUGGUCAUGCGCCUCUGUUUUCUUUGGUUACAAGGACCAAAAUGUAAACACACUCAGCUAACUGAGCAGUUUGCUUCAAUCAAGUGUUCAAUAAGAGCCUUUAAAGUGUUCACAGUUAGUCAUAGGUAUUUUUGCACCACGGAUCUUUGUGUCAUGAGCCCUAAAAUUCCCAGCUUCCCUGUCUGAUUUCAUUUCUGUUCGUUCAUUCACAAUCAAUCAUGAUAUAUUUAGGUAUUUGUAAUCAUAAUGAAAUAAAUAACCAUGUCUUUGUAUUAUUUUACUUGCAUUUUUUUUCUUAUCUUUCUGUUUGAAACAGAGAUGUAAUUUCAAUUAGCGUUGGCUCGGGUCCGUUUCCCUAAAUCGGGAUGAUAUCUCUCAUAGUGCUCCUGAACUCUGUAGUUCUCUAGUUCAUUAUAUUCUACUUAGACUAAAAUAAAGCACACUCCUGUAGAAAACGGA